ACAUCCCACUUCCUCUGGGAGGGGUAGUGUUUAUUAGAUACAGAACCAACCCACCUUUUGGUGGUCCUUGGGUGAUUCAUAGUAACCGAACGGAUCGCUGUAUGGCUUCGGCCAGCGAUAGAUCAUUCAAGUUUCUGACCUAUCAGCUUUCGACGGUACUGUAUUGGACUACCGUGGCGGUGACGGGUAACGGGGAAUUAGGGUUCGAUUCCGGAGAGGGAGCCUGAGAGACGGCUACCACAUCUAAGGAAGGCAGCAGGCGCGCAAAUUACCCAAUCCUGAUUCAGGGAGGUAGUGACAAGAAAUAACAACACUGGAAAUUUCAUUUCUAGUGAUUGGAAUGAUGGGAAUCCAAACCCCUUUCAGAGUAACAAUUGGAGGGCAAGUCUGGUGCCAGCAGCCGCGGUAAUUCCAGCUCCAAUAGCGUAUAUUAAAGUUGUUGCAGUUAAAAAGCUCGUAGUUGGAUUUCUGCUGGAAGCAACCCGUCCGCCCUUAGGGGUGUGCACGAGGUGAAUUCUAGCAUCUUUCUGGUGGCGUCUCACACUUAAUUGGGUGGGUCGCAGUUCCAGGACAUUUA
This 577-nucleotide ribosomal RNA is filed under the name Sarcocystidae sp. RNAcentral's name for it is "SSU rRNA". It matches the Rfam family "Eukaryotic small subunit ribosomal RNA", at positions 174 to 754 of the family's 1831-position model. The record is from RNAcentral. Lineage: Eukaryota; Apicomplexa; Conoidasida; Eucoccidiorida; Sarcocystidae.